AGCUCCAAUAGCGUAUAUUUAAGUUGUUGCAGUUAAAAAGCUCGUAGUUGGAUUUCGGGCGCGGCCGCGCGGUCUGCCUCUGGUAUGCACUGCGUCGGGCGCGCCUUUCUGCUGGGGACGCGUUCUGGGCUUCACUGUCCGGGGCGCGGGCUCAGCGAAGUGACCUUGAGCAAACAAGAGUGUUCAAAGCAAGCCUACGCUCUGAAUUUUUUAGCAUGGAAUCACACGAUAGGACUCUGGCCUAUCUUGUUGGUCUGUGGGACCGGAGUAAUGAUUAAGAGGGACAGUCGGGGGCAUUCGUAUUUCAUUGUCAGAGGUGAAAUUCUUGGAUUUAUGAAAGACGAACAUCUGCGAAAGCAUUUGCCAAGGAUGUUUUCA
Molecule: ribosomal RNA, 378 nt
Filed under: uncultured eukaryote
Lineage: Eukaryota
Description: SSU rRNA
Rfam family: Eukaryotic small subunit ribosomal RNA
Source: RNAcentral